UACGUAGGGGGCAAGCGUUGUCCGGACUUAUUGGGCGUAAAGAGCGUGUAGGCGGCCAGGUAGGUCUGCUGUGAAAACUCGAGGCUUAACCUCGAGCUGUCGGCGGAAACCAUCUGGCUAGAGUCCGGAAGAGGAGAAUGGAAUUCCCGGUGUAGCGGUGAAAUGCGCAGAUAUCGGGAAGAACACCAAUGGCGAAGGCAGCUCGCUGGGACGUGACUGACGCUGAGACGCGAAAGCGUGGGGAGCAAACAGG
RNAcentral lists this ribosomal RNA (253 nucleotides) under uncultured bacterium. Its description in RNAcentral is "partial 16S ribosomal RNA". It matches the Rfam family "Bacterial small subunit ribosomal RNA", at positions 524 to 776 of the family's 1533-position model. The record is from RNAcentral.